This 318-nucleotide long non-coding RNA is filed under the name Elaeis guineensis (African oil palm). RNAcentral describes it as "long non-coding RNA (EGUI_LNC012228)". Lineage: Eukaryota; Viridiplantae; Streptophyta; Magnoliopsida; Arecales; Arecaceae. The record is from RNAcentral.
UUCCUCUUUCAAUGACCCAAGUUCUUGCAAAAGAAGCAUUCUGCAUGGCUCUUGUCGACUUUCGACUUUUUAUCCUGCUUUGGCUUUGGAUCAACGGUAUGACUCUUCUGCAUCAUUUUCUUCUUUCCUCUUUUAGAGGAACAACGACCUACAGACGAUCCUCCCACAACAUGCAAUGGCUCCUUCCGAAGCUGAUGGUCCUUCUCGAAUGUCUGCAGCAACCUUAGCAAAUCAUGGUAGUUCAUUACAGGCUUGGUCAUUUUAUAAUGACUCAAAAAGGAUAGGUAGAACUUCGAUAGCGAGUUUAGAAUAGCAUCC